GAGACUAAUCCUAAGAAUAAAAUUUAAAAGUUGAGAGUUGAAAAGAUAUAAUCGAUGGGCUGCAAUCCAAUAGACAAGAAUGUCAUAUAGAAACCCAAAUUUCCCUUGGAUUUUAGAAUCACACAACAAUCAAUAUACAAACAGCAAGUUGAAGAGCAAGGCAUCAAAUAAAGAUAGCCACAUCCAAGCUUGACAACUUCAUGAUCUUCUUUAAGUUUUGUCCAUUCAGGAGAUGAAUUUC
This 241-nucleotide long non-coding RNA is filed under the name Lathyrus oleraceus (garden pea). RNAcentral describes it as "Pisum sativum (pea) long non-coding RNA (PSAT_LNC017037)". Lineage: Eukaryota; Viridiplantae; Streptophyta; Magnoliopsida; Fabales; Fabaceae. The record is from RNAcentral.